RNAcentral lists this ribosomal RNA (501 nucleotides) under uncultured bacterium. RNAcentral describes it as "partial 16S ribosomal RNA". It matches the Rfam family "Bacterial small subunit ribosomal RNA", at positions 30 to 523 of the family's 1533-position model. The record is from RNAcentral.
AUUGAACGCUGGCGGCAGGCUUAACACAUGCAAGUCGAGCGGAGAUGAGGUGCUUGCACCUUAUCUUAGCGGCGGACGGGUGAGUAAUGCUUAGGAAUCUGCCUAUUAGUGGGGGACAACAUUCCGAAAGGAAUGCUAAUACCGCAUACGUCCUACGGGAGAAAGCAGGGGAUCUUCGGACCUUGCGCUAAUAGAUGAGCCUAAGUCGGAUUAGCUAGUUGGUGGGGUAAAGGCCUACCAAGGCGACGAUCUGUAGCGGGUCUGAGAGGAUGAUCCGCCACCCUGGGACUGAGACACGGCCCAGACUCCUACGGGAGGCAGCAGUGGGGAAUAUUGGACAAUGGGGGAAACCCUGAUCCAGCCAUGCCGCGUGUGUGAAGAAGGCCUUAUGGUUGUAAAGCACUUUAAGCGAGGAGGAGGCUACUGAGACUAAUACUCUUGGAUAGUGGACGUUACUCGCAGAAUAAGCACCGGCUAACUCUGUGCCAGCAGCCGCAGUAA